Molecule: RNA transcript, 819 nt
Organism: Odobenus rosmarus divergens (Pacific walrus)
Lineage: Eukaryota; Metazoa; Chordata; Mammalia; Carnivora; Odobenidae
Gene: APOPT1
Gene name: apoptogenic 1, mitochondrial
Exons: 5
Source: RefSeq, a predicted model, not a curated record
GAGAAGCAGACUCCCUGCUGAGCAGGGAGCCCGAUGCGGGACUCAAUCCCGGGACUCCAGGAUCAUGACCUGAGCCGAAGGUCUCAGGAUUCUGCCCUCCAAGAAAAUCUUGCCAUGAUUGGAUAGGACCCCCAGAUAAACAUUCAAACCUUCGACCCGUUUACUUUUACGUCCCCGAAAACGAAUCACCGUUGGAACAAAAGCUAAGACAAUUAAGACAAGAAACACAAGAAUGGAACCAACAGUUCUGGGCAAACCAGAAUUUGACAUUUCGUAAGGAAAAAGAAGAAUUUAUUCGCUCAAGGCUAAAAGCUAGAGGCCUGGAACUGAGAGCCGGAUCAGGUCAAAAAGCAACAUUAGAUGCAGAAGAAAUGGCUGACUUUUACAAGGAAUUUUUACGUAAAAAUUUUCUGAAGCACAUGUAUUAUAACAGAGACUGGUACAAGCGUAAUUUUGCCAUCACCUUCUUCAUGGGAAAAGUGGCCCUGGAGAGAGUUUGGAACAAGCUUAGACCAAAACCAAAGACCAGCACCUAGGAGCCCACCCUGACCCGCCCACUCUGACCCUCCCACCACUGCUGUUGGAGUUUUCUGGGAGAAGCGGCUGCUCUGGGAAUCCAUUUUACAAGGGCUCUAAAAACCUGUAAGUGAACUGAGUCCCACACCUACUUUAUGGGGGCCCUCGGCUUAUGUCAGCACAGGGUGGACUGGGAGAAUGGGAAUCCUGGUGAGCUGUGGGCCAUGUGACUCUGUCCUGACUGUGGAUUCCAAGCUGGCCCUGGGUCAUGGACAUGAUGUUAAAUAAAACACAAGCACUGUG